UACGUAGGGGCGAGCGUUGUCCGGAAUAAUUGGGCGUAAAGGGCGCGUAGGCGGCUCUGCAAGUCAGUAGUGGAAGUCCCAUUUUCAAGGUGGGGAGGGCUAUUGAAACUGCGGAGCUUGAGUGCAGGAGAGGUUAUCGGAAUUCCCGGUGUAGCGGUGAAAUGCGUAGAGAUCGGGAGGAACACCAGUGGCGAAGGCGGGUAACUGGACUGCAACAGACGCUGAGGCGCGAAAGUGUGGGGAGCAAACAGGAUUAGAUACCCUGGUAGUCCCU
RNAcentral lists this ribosomal RNA (274 nucleotides) under uncultured prokaryote. RNAcentral describes it as "partial 16S ribosomal RNA". It matches the Rfam family "Bacterial small subunit ribosomal RNA", at positions 524 to 798 of the family's 1533-position model. The record is from RNAcentral.